Cariama cristata (Red-legged seriema) is the source of this 132-nucleotide non-coding RNA. Lineage: Eukaryota; Metazoa; Chordata; Aves; Cariamiformes; Cariamidae. The record is from Rfam.
ACCUGCAUUCGAAAGUGAUCGUGGUCUCACCCGUGGCCUGGUCAUUGAUAGUGCAGGGAGACGAGUGCCGAAAGCUUUCCCGUGUUUGGGGGGGUCCAUCCCCUCCCUCCCAAGCCCUGUUGCUGUCGGACA